AGGUCAAGCUACUAAGGGUCCACGGAGGAUGCCUUGGCGUCAAGGGCCGAAGAAGGGCGUGGCAUGACUGCGAAAAGCCGCGGUGAGCUGUCUAGCGAACUUAGCCGCGGAUACCCGAAUGGGGCAACCCUACCGCCGUCAUGGGCGGUAACCCCUUUACUGAACACAUAGGUUUAGGGGAGGCCAGUGGGGGAACUGAAACAUCUUAGUACCCCGAGGAAAAUACAUCAAAAGAGAUUCCGUUAGUAGUGGCGAACGAACGCGGAUCAGCCUAAACCGUUAGCACUUAGUGGGCGGCAGCCCUAUGUGUUAACGGGGUUGUGAGCCAGAACUGGGUGAACUGCUGUGAUCCCAAAGAGUUACCAACCCGACCCUAGCCAAAUGCCCUGGAACGGGCAGCCGUAGUGGGUGACAGCCCCGUAGGCGAAAGGGAGAGGCUCUUGUUCUGUGCUCGAGUACCACGGGACACGUGAAAUCCUGUGGGAAGCUGGGGGGACCACCCUCCAAGGCUAAAUACCCUUGACGACCGAUAGUGAACCAGUACCGUGAGGGAAAGGUGAAAAGCACCCCGGGAGGGGAAUGAAAUAGACCUGAAACCGUGGACCUACAAGCGGUCAGAGCCCUGUAAGGGGUGAUGGCGUGCCUAUUGAAGAAUGAGCCGGCGAGUUACUCUCAGUGGCUGUUAUGGUUAAGGCAUUGGCAUGCUGGAGCCGCAGCGAAAGCGAGUCUGAUAAGGGCGUACAGGUCGCUGGGAGUAGACCCGAAACUGUGUGAUCUACCCAUGGCCAGGGUGAAGCGAAGGUAAAACUUCGUGGAGGCCCGAACCUUCUAGCGUUGCAAAGCUAUUGGAUGAGUUGUGGGUAGCGGUGAAAUGCCAAACGAACACAGAGAUAGCUGGUUCUCCCCGAAAUGCAUUGAGGUGCAGCCUCAGGUGUUUAUCGAUGGAGGUAGGGCUCUGGAUGAACUAGGGGGCACGACGCUUACCAAACUCAACUAAUCCGCAAAUGCCAUCGAUUCAGAGCCUGGGAGUGAGACUGUGGGGGAUAAGCUUCAUGGUCGAGAGGGAAACAGCCCAGAUCCUCAGCUAAGGUCCCUAAGUGUGAGCUAAGUGUCAAACGAGGUAGUGCCGCCCAGACAACCAGGAGGUUGGCUUAGAAGCAGCCAUCCUUUAAAGAGUGCGUAAUAGCUCACUGGUCGAGGGGUGCUGCGCGGACAAUGUACCGGGGCUAAGCUCAUCACCGAAGCUAGGGCAUUCCUACGUAAGUAGGGAUGGGUAGGGGAGCGUUCUGUGCGCAGUGAAGUUAAGGGGUAACCCUUGGUGGAGGGCACAGAAGUGCGAAUGCCGGCAUGAGUAGCGUAAACGCCGAUGAGAAUUCGGCGCACCGGAAGUCUAAGGUUUCCUACGGAAGGUUUCUCCGCGUAGGGUUAGCCGGGCCUAAGCCGAGGCCGCAAGGCGUAGUGCGAUGGACAACAGGUUAGUAUUCCUGUGCCACUACAUAGUCGUUAUCAGCAAAGUGGAGACCCGGGAGGGUAGGCAGAGCGUGCCCAUUGGACAUGGUGCGUCCCUAAACGAAGGCGUGGACUGGUAGGCAAAUCCGCCGGUCCGUUAAGCUGAGGUGCGGGGGAAGGCGCAGAGCAAUCUGCAGCCGAUUCUGUUGACCCCAUACUGGCAAGAAAAGCCGCGUUGCGAGAAUAUGUGGUGCCCGUACCGCAAACCGACACUGGUAGACAGGGAUAAGAGUCCCAAGGUGUUCGAGAGAACCCUCGUUAAGGAACUAGGCAACUUAACCCCGUAACUUAGGGAUAAGGGGUGCCCUUGGAUGUGUAGUCACUCGCUGGCGAAGCAUCCGGAGGUCGCAGCAAAGGGGCUCAGGCGACUGUUUAACAAAAACACAGGUCUCUGCAAACGCGAAAGCGGAAGUAUAGGGGCUGACUCCUGCCCAGUGCUGGAAGGUUAAGGGGAGGUGUUUCAAAAGCACCGAACCGAAGCCCCAGUGAACGGCGGCCGUAACUAUAACGGUCCUAAGGUAGCGAAAUUCCUUGUCGGGUAAGUUCCGACCCGCACGAAUGGAGUAACGAUCUGAGCGCUGUCUCAACGAGGGACUCGGCGAAAUUGAAGUAUCCGUGAAGAUGCGGAUUACCCGCGCCAGGACAAAAAGACCCCGUGGAGCUUUACUGUAGCUUGGCGUUGCAUCGAGGCUUUACUUGCGUAGGAUAGGUGGGAGGCUAUGAGCCGGGGCUUUCGGGUUCCGGGGAGCCAACGUUGAAAUACCACUCUGGUAAAGUUUUGGUGCUAACCACUCACCGUUAUCCGGGAGUGGGACAACGUCUGGCAGGCAGUUUGACUGGGGCGGUCGCCUCCCAAAAUGUAACGGAGGCGUCCAAAGGUUCCCUCAGGGUGGAUGGAAAUCACCCGAAGAGUGCAUAGGCAGAAGGGAGCUUGACUGCGAGACCUACAAGUCGAGCAGGGCCGAAAGGCGGGCUAAGUGAUCCUACGGUCCCGUGUGGAAGGGCCGUGGCUUAUCGGACAAAAGCUACCCCGGGGAUAACAGGCUUAUCUUCCCCAAGAGUUCACAUCGACGGGAAGGUUUGGCACCUCGAUGUCGGCUCGUCGCAUCCUGGGGCUGAAGCAGGUCCCAAGGGUCCGGCUGUUCGCCGGUUAAAGCGGUACGCGAGCUGGGUUCAGAACGUCGUGAGACAGUUCGGUCUCUAU
This 2713-nucleotide ribosomal RNA is filed under the name Dehalococcoidia bacterium. RNAcentral's name for it is "partial 23S ribosomal RNA". It matches the Rfam family "Bacterial large subunit ribosomal RNA". Lineage: Bacteria; Bacillati; Chloroflexota; Dehalococcoidia. The record is from RNAcentral.